CGGUCCGCCCUUGCUCGUCCAACUCAUCUUUAUCCCGAACAGAGCCUCCUCUCUUCUCUCUCCUUAUCCAUUUCUUCCCCAACCCGACCCCUCUUCUCUCCUAGGCGCCAUGGGGGAGCCCCCAUAGCUCCUUUCCCAUUUGGAGCCUCCACCCUCGCCGGAGCUUCGCCGAAGGUCGCCGUCGCCGAGCUCCACUACCUAGCCAUCAUCUUUUUCCCCGGGAUCGAAGUUUCCCCCAAGUUUCCUCAAGUUCUUCUUCCUCUACUUCAAGAAUAAGGUCAAGCCCGAGCUCAAGCUUCCCCAAGGCCGCUUUACUCCAACUUGUGGCACCUCACUGGAGCCCUAGCCAUCGCCGAGACCGAAGCACCAACUCAAGUGGAGGUUGAGACCGAGCCGGAGUCCGUCGUCGACGACACUUCUUUGAUGAACCAAGGUGAGCCUCAGCAGGAGCCCGUCUUUGGGUACUUCUACCCCGUGGACGGUGGAGCGGAUGAGAGCUGAAGGCCGGUGGUUGAAGUAGAGCACUAUCUCCAUAUAGUGUUCUCUUCUGGGUUGUAUCCGUAGAGACAUAAUUAAAUAUUUUCGCUGCAAAACUCUGAACUUGUAAUGUAGUCACUUGAAUCUAUUUAUGUAAGAGACUUCUAUGUAUGGAUAUGCUUGUAUGUGAUGAUGUUCUCAA
Molecule: long non-coding RNA, 679 nt
Organism: Panicum virgatum (switchgrass)
Lineage: Eukaryota; Viridiplantae; Streptophyta; Magnoliopsida; Poales; Poaceae
Exons: 3
Source: RefSeq, a predicted model, not a curated record